RNAcentral lists this ribosomal RNA (466 nucleotides) under uncultured bacterium. RNAcentral describes it as "partial 16S ribosomal RNA". It matches the Rfam family "Bacterial small subunit ribosomal RNA", at positions 28 to 507 of the family's 1533-position model. The record is from RNAcentral.
GACGAACGCUGGCGGCGUGCUUAACACAUGCCAGUCGAACGGAAAGGCUCCACUUUGCUGGGGUACACGAGUGGCGAACGGGUGAGUAACACGUGGGUGACCUGCCCUUCACUUCGGGAUAACCUUGGGAAACUGGGUCUAAUACCGGAUAGGACCUUGGUGUGGAUACUGGGGUGGAAAGUUUUUGCGGUGUGGGAUGGGCCCGCGGCCUAUCAGCUUGUUGGUGGGGUAAUGGCCUACCAAGGCGGCGACGGGUAGCCGGCCUGAGAGGGUGGACGGCCACAUUGGGACUGAGACACGGCCCAGACUCCUACGGGAGGCAGCAGUGGGGAAUAUUGCACAAUGGGCGGAAGCCUGAUGCAGCGACGCCGCGUGGGGGAUGACGGCCUUCGGGUUGUAAACUCCUUUCGCCAUCGACGAAGGGUUUCUGACGGUAGAUGGAGAAGAAGCACCGGCUAACUACGUG